RNAcentral lists this ribosomal RNA (490 nucleotides) under Blastococcus sp. CP1L. RNAcentral describes it as "bacterial SSU rRNA". It matches the Rfam family "Bacterial small subunit ribosomal RNA", at positions 379 to 879 of the family's 1533-position model. The record is from RNAcentral. Lineage: Bacteria; Bacillati; Actinomycetota; Actinomycetes; Geodermatophilales; Geodermatophilaceae.
AAGCCUGACGCAGCGACGCCGCGUGGGGGAUGACGGCCUUCGGGUUGUAAACCUCUUUCAGCAGGGACGAAGCGCAAGUGACGGUACCUGCAGAAGAAGCACCGGCCAACUACGUGCCAGCAGCCGCGGUAAUACGUAGGGUGCAAGCGUUGUCCGGAAUUAUUGGGCGUAAAGAGCUCGUAGGCGGUUUGUUGCGUCGGCUGUGAAAUCCCGAGGCUCAACCUCGGGUCUGCAGUCGAUACGAGCAAACUAGAGUGUUGCAGGGGAGACUGGAAUUCCUGGUGUAGCGGUGAAAUGCGCAGAUAUCAGGAGGAACACCGGUGGCGAAGGCGGGUCUCUGGGCAACAACUGACGCUGAGGAGCGAAAGCGUGGGGAGCGAACAGGAUUAGAUACCCUGGUAGUCCACGCCGUAAACGUUGGGCGCUAGGUGUGGGGCUCAUUCCACGAGUUCCGUGCCGCAGCUAACGCAUUAAGCGCCCCGCCUGGGGA